GGGAAUGUAGCUCAAUAAUAGAGUGCUUUGCCUAUCAAGCACAAGGUUCUGGGUUCAAUCCCCAGUACCA
This 70-nucleotide transfer RNA is filed under the name Fukomys damarensis (Damara mole-rat). It matches the Rfam family "tRNA". From Rfam's summary of the family: Transfer RNA (tRNA) molecules are approximately 80 nucleotides in length. Their secondary structure includes four short double-helical elements and three loops (D, anti-codon, and T loops). Lineage: Eukaryota; Metazoa; Chordata; Mammalia; Rodentia; Bathyergidae. The record is from Rfam by way of RNAcentral.